Molecule: long non-coding RNA, 943 nt
Organism: Chinchilla lanigera (long-tailed chinchilla)
Lineage: Eukaryota; Metazoa; Chordata; Mammalia; Rodentia; Chinchillidae
Exons: 5
Source: RefSeq, a predicted model, not a curated record
CCCCAUCCUCACUAUCAUCAAUGCCAUCAUCACCACCAUGGCAAUGGCAGCAGGACACAGAGCACAUUUAUAAACUGACUUCUAUCUUUUAAAUACAUCAUUAAUCCUCCAAACAAACCUACAAAGUCCACCAAAAUUGUUUUCAUGUAGGAAAAAUACGGGCUUAGAUCAAUCAGGGUAUGUAGGAAGCUUGUGCAGCUCCUCCCAUUAGAAGGGAAUAAAUCAACUCUUUCACCCACGUGUUUUUUGAUGCUGCAGUUCUUUUUCCCCCUAAGCACACCAUCUCGAAACCAGAAAUGUUACAGUCAGCAUUCACAACCAGCUCCAAUGGGUGUGUCCAUACUUCAGAAACGAGGAACGUGACAGAAGUCAGAGUUAAAGAGGACACGCACGCUUCUGCCUUUAGACUCAGGGUUCACAUGCCUGGAAACACCUGGGGCCUCGACCCUGAUCAAAGACGACCUUCGAGGGUAAGAACUGACCUCCACACAUUACCUGCAAUACAUGUGGUCACAAAGUGGAAUAUUUAUUAACACGUGCAAGUGGUUAAAACAAAGACAAGCACUGGGGCUAGAGCUGCCAUCUUGGACCAUGGAGCCAUCUGACAGAAGGAUGCUGGCCUAGGAUCAUGCAGGGCCAUACAUGGCAAGAGUGUUCCAGUGAUUAGUUUGAGCUCCAACACUUUUGGUGCCAUCCAGUCUACCUGAGAACACCUGAAUAAAAUCUACUUUCUCAUCUAUGCAAAGACCCAAGGGAUGCAGCAAAGCCAUGUGAAAUCUCCAAACGUUGGAAAAGAUCAGUGUUAAGACCAGAGAAUCACUUGCAGGCUGCUGUGUACACCCGGACGGACACACAGAGAUGAAACCACCGCACAAGAACACCUGCAUUUUUUAGUCAAAGCAACUUUCAUUCAAAGAAAUACAAAUUAAUUUAACAUGAAUAA